Molecule: long non-coding RNA, 1538 nt
Organism: Monomorium pharaonis (pharaoh ant)
Lineage: Eukaryota; Metazoa; Arthropoda; Insecta; Hymenoptera; Formicidae
Exons: 2
Source: RefSeq, a predicted model, not a curated record
AAAACACCCAUCGACAUAAGAUACUUUAACUGGUAUUUACUGAUAUUUAGGUUUAAUUAUCUUUUAUACGAUUUUUUCAAGGCGCUCAACGUUCGUAGCAAUUAACACAAAUUGUAAAAUAUAACAAAAAACAUUCGUAAUGUCGGAAUACAUGCACGGAAAGAAUGAUUUUACUAUGGUACUUAAAAAUUUAGCUAAAUACAAAGUUAAAAAUAAUUUUGUUAGACCAUCUCAAAGCAAUUAUGAGGAACGCUCAAAUAUGAUAAGCAAUGCUGUAAACAGUUUUGACAUUCUAAUAAUCGCGUUGAAUAUUUUGGUGAUAUAAUAAAAAUAUUUUCAGAUUUAUUUCCAGCUAAAUUUUUGAAUGGUUUAGCAAGUGUUCCUUCCAUAUAUAUAUAUUAAUAUAAAAAAUAUAUUAAAUUCUAUACAAUGUAAAAAAAGCAAAUAAUACAAAAAGUGCCAGCUUCAAAGUACAGUCCCACUGUAAUCAAAUGCCAACCCGGUUAUUGAUGCGUUCCCGUUGCAGCAUAUAUACCCUUGACUCUAUUCGCUUCAUCUAUUCAAGCUUCCGCUCUAAUAGUUUAAGUAAAUUCGUCAGAGUAACUUUGACACAGACACAAAGUCGUGUGUCAUUUGCAUUACAAUUCGGUGAAGAUGCGAUCGCUUCGUCUGAUUUGGCACCUACGCGAAAAGCCACGUUAACAGAAAAUGAGACAACCAAAAAUGGAUGUAUUUACAGAAAAACGGAAAUAUGGAUGCCAAAGAUUGAAAGAUAAUAAUUUAAAUAAUUCGUUAUUAAAUUACGUAUCUCGACGUAAUAAAAAGGAUCGCAUAUAAAAAGCAAAUUGUUGCGUAUGUACACACUUUUUAUUAUAUCUACAUAUUUUCAUAACAGGAUAAUAAACAUAUUAUAUUAGAAAUAAUGUACAAGUAAAAUACAGGUUAAAACUUAAGCUCGACAUCAGAAUGUAGAUUGUAAAAUAUAAAUAAUUGCAUGAUUAAUUGCGUCGCCCAAUUUUCUAAUUAUGCCGGUUCUAACAGCUUGUAAUUGGUUACGCUCACAUUGCGUGAAAUCAAAAACAGAUUUGUAUCUAAUCGUUCAUCGGAAGAAAAACGAAAUAUCCUGCGAAUAUUCGUACAUUACAAUUUGUUUUUUGUUAUUAUAAAAUCUAUAUGAUAAUAAAAUUAAACUUUUUAUAAAAUUUGAUUCAUUACAGUCAUUAAGACAGUAUAAACAUAGGAAGAUGUUUAAAUUAGAUACAAUCUGUGCGUAUUACAUACAAUUUAUAAUUUACAUACAAAAAAAAAUAUAAAUGCACAUCACAACCCUGUAUAUACAUAUAAGAUUUUUACUGAGAUGUAGUAAACUGUCCUCUAAAUGUAGUAGUAGAAAAGUAGAAAAAUAUGUGAGAUCAACUAAAGUUCGACUUUCUGUUAGUGCGAUAAUUCGGCGAGAUCAAAAGGCUCGACUGUCAUUUUAUGACGCCAACAGAAAGUCAAAGGAGCCGAAAGAUUGGAAACAUAAAAAAAUUAAAAAA